GGGAGGGGGGUAACUGAUGCAAAUAACAAACAUAAUUUAAAUUUCAACAGUGCAUAUCAAAGAUAGUGAAUAUUGUAUCUGGCCUUUGGACACAAAACAUAAAACUGCAUGCUCAUAUUUUCUUAUGACAAUGAAUUAUUUUGUGAGAUUUCAUAUCUGCCUAAUUACCCUCUAUUUUCAUGUAAAGAUGGUAUGAUCCAGCUCGCAGAAGAAAAACGAUUCCAAUGGAGCCUUCCUCCCUUUGACUGGAAGGUUCCACUCACUGCAGAGGGGGUUCUUAUGCAUGUACCAGGAGUCUGAUGUUCAUUGUAGCAGAAUUGCAGUGCACUGGACUGUACAGAACAGUGUAGCAUUCACUGUGUAUGAGGGGUGGGGUUCAGCUACACUAAAAUCACAAACACAGGCAGAUAGAGGGUGAGAGAGCGAGAGGGAGAGAAGAGGAGGGAGAGAAAGCACCUGAAGAGGAAUACAACAAGGGAUGAAAGGAGACACCCCAGUGAACAGCACCAUGAGUGUCGGCCAAGCCAGGAAGCUGGUGGAGCAAUUGAAGAUUGAAGCCAGUUUCUGCAGGAUCAAGGUAUCAAAAGCGGCUGCAGACCUGAUGGCAUACUGUGAUGCCCACGCCAUUGAGGACCCCCUCAUCACCCCUGUGCCCACCUCAGAGAACCCAUUCAGGGAGAAGAAGUUCUUCUGUGCACUCCUUUGAGACAAACCACAGGAUGGUUGGGAAAAACACUGUCCAGACAGAACAUAACGUACACUGAGUAUACCAAACAUUAGGAACAUCUUCCUAAUAUUGAGUUGCACGCACCCGCCCCCUGCACUCAGAACAGCCUUAAUUCGUCAGGGCAUGGACUCUACAAGGUGUCGAAAGCAUUCUCCACAAAUGCUGGCCCAUGUUGACUACAAUGCUUUCCAGAGUUGUGUCAAGUUGGUUAGAUGUCCUUCAGAUGGUGGACCACCCUUGAUACACACGGGAAACUGUUGAGCGUGAAAAACCCAACAGCGUUGCAGUUCUUGACACAAACUGGUGUGCAUGGCACCUACUACCAUAUCCAGUUCAAAGGAACUUUUUGUCUUGCCCUUUCACCUUCUAAAUGGCAUACAUACACAAUCUAUGUCUCAAUUCUCUCUUUAACCGGUCUCAUCCCCUUCAUCUACACACUGAUUGAAGUGGAUUUAACAAGUGACAUCAACAAUGGAUCAUAGCUUUCACCUGGUCAGUCUGUCAUGGAAAGAGCAGGUGUUCUUAAUGUUUUGUAUACUCAAUGUACAUGCAUUCACCACAUACACAAAGCUAAAUAUAACUUAUUCAUGUAGCCUGCUUUAUCUUAUGAAAGGCUGCAUAUGUACAUAUUCUCCUAAGUAAAAUCAAGACUAAUUCAACCAAAAUUUACAUUUAAAGUAGAUCUACAUAAACAACCAUUAAAAUAUAUUUGGAGUUAUGCGUAUACAUACUUAAAACACAUUGAACCUUAUAGAAUCAUGAACUGUAGCACAACAUAAAAGUGGAUAUACAUAUGUAAAACAGCUCAUAGUCCUAUCUCAUUUUUCAAAUAGAUGGAGGGGUGACAACUACACAUGAAUUGUAAUUAUUUGGAACUUUUAAUACACACUAGUCAUUGCCUAAUCUGAGUUUGUUAAAAAAAUAAUAAUUGUGUGUGAUGUGUUGAAAGUCCUGUAUGUCACUUUAAGCUGUUGCAGAAAUGUGCGUGAGGUGUAGGCGCCACUGUGGACCAGUAGGACAGUAAGAGGACAAGUCAAUACACACUAACCCAAAUAAUUCCACUGGCGCUGUAUGUACAAGAGGUGGUCAGCCGCCUUAACAAGAUCAGCGGUCUAUAAUGACGGGUUUCCAAUAACAAUGAUCAAUGUUGUUUUGAUAAAUAAGUGGUUUAAUUUGUCAAGUGGAUGUCUAAGGCUAUAUGACAUUAACAAAAAUAAGCAGUACAUUUAAUAAAUACAUAACAGCGAUUUGUAUGGUUUUCUUUGAGACCAGUUUUUUUGGUUGCUUAUCUGAUCAAGUUCAGAAAUGUUAUUACUAUUUUUAGAUCAGUGUUCCUUAAACCUUUACUGUCAAUAUUUCUUACCAAAGCAAAUUAAGAGCUUUGAAUAAAAGGGGACUUGGGAAUCAAAGACAAAAUUAAAUACUCCUGUCACCAAAAUAUUUUUGCAUGUAAUUUAUUAUUAUUAUUUUUUUCAAAAAACAAAACAAAGUCAGAAUUGUCCAGAUCUUGCAGUUGUUUCUUUCAAAAGAAAAAUAUAAAAACAUGCUUUCACAGUCAAUAUGCAAAAACAUGAACCAGUGUUUCAGUAAAACCAUCCUUCAACGAUUAAACAGAGAGCAACACAAGUAUGCUCAUAAAUUAAUUCCUGAAACAGUGCUACUUACUGUGGUUUUACGUCAGGCUUUCAUUUGUGUGAAGAUUGAAAAUGAGGUGAUUUGUAGUAGCUAGCUUCUUAAUCCGCAUGCACUGCUCCACAACUCAAGGUACAUUGCAGAUAAAUGUUGCUUUUGCAUUACAACGUUAAGGCAUUCCUUCAACAUCUCUUAAAACAAACACAUAAGAUAACAUGGAGCAAUUACAAAUGUAAAUCUUAAAACUGCUUCCUGUAAACUCAGAUGUAAAAUUAACAGUGCAACAUCUUAUAGAUAUAAAAGCCAUGUGGUGUCAAAUGGUUUAAAAUGCUACUAAUUAAUUUAGCGACAAGUUCAUUUAAAUAAAUGCAGGGGCAAACUGUCAGAAAGUUGGAGAUAAGUACAAGCAUUAGUUAUAACUUUAUGAAGGGAUAGUAAUUAUAAAAAGUGGUUAUUUGACAGAACAAAAUUGAAAUAUAAAGUGCAGGAAAACAAAUUAACUCAUCCAAGGCUUCUGUACGGCCAAAGAUAUUAAAUCAUAGGAAAGGUCAGGAUUACGGAUCUACACAGUUGGGUGAAACAACCCCAUGGAUGACUGCAGCAAGGUACGUCUUACUAAUUUUUAAGCAUCCAUAGGUCUCUGAAUUGUGACUCUAGUAUAAAAUAACCAGGUGUUACAAUGUAUGACUUUGCUUAACUGCCUCAUGUGCAGUGUUCCCAUAUGAGGUGAAAUUUAAUGUGAGACCACAAGUAAAUAGAUGUUUGGGAUAACGUUAUAUAAAACGGGAAAAAACAAAACCUUCUCUACAGGAAAGAAUCACACCAUUCACGCAGACAGCCAUAGCAAUCACCCUGCUGUUUGACAUUGGCCCCGCAUGAGUCUUUCAGCCAGUCCCGGAAUAGCUCCUCAUCCUUCUUCAGCACCAGGAACUGACCCAGGACCACAUAGGCCUGUAGAUGUAUGCAAAUGAGAAUGGAGUAGGAAAAGUGUAAGAGAACAUGAAUGACAAUACACUAACCUAAACACUUGGUAAAAGUUGCACAACUGCAUUGUCUUCUUGACUUUGCUGUACUUACUAUGACAUGCCUAAAAUGUAGAAAUUCACAAAACAAAAGUUCCAUUAUGAAAGUUCCAACAAAGUUAAGUAAACUCUGCAUCACCUUGUCGAAGCCCUUCUCCUCCAGUCUCUUGCCAAGCACCUCUCCAAUGCCAGCAAGUGCAUUGACUGGCUUCUCCCCCAUGGGUUCUGCCACAAACUCUUUGUGUUUCUGGGAUGUUGACGACAUGGCUGCUUUCUGUCAGUGAACACCUUAAGUACCUUCACACAGGACACUGAAUAGAAAAUGAAGCAAUUUACUAAAAUGUUUGGUUAUUAUUUCACCUUUUUCAUUUGAAGACGUUGAAGCAGAGGCACACAAUUUAUCAACACCAAUAUGGUGUAACCAUAAAACAGGAAACCUAAUCAUAUUUGGUGUAGCUGUAUCCAUGAUUCACAGUAGUGUCACAAUUUGUUUAGAACAUACAGUAUUUGGGACUGGAGUGCCCUAUGACCCCAAAGUGACAUUAUCAACUAAUAAAACUGAAACCAAAAUCUUUCCAUGUUACCCAUAACACCACCCAGAGAGAACGAGCUCUAAGUGUUUUGUUGGAGCAUGUGUCGAUAAUGAUAGGAUCGAAAGAAAGGGAGUGCUGCUCUUGGAUCAACCUUCUCCAUUCAAAUCUUACCUUAACAUUAUUUCAUUGACGACGGAUCAGCUCCUAGAGGGUUAUCUACCACCUACGGUUGUAAAUAUUGAAGCGGCUUAUUUUAAUGCUUACCCAAUCGGCACAUCUUUUUAUACGCCGCUUGUUUGUAUCAAUUGCAAAGACAUUGGCAACUUUGUUUGUAGUCAACUUUGUUUUUAAGUUAACGCUGUCAGAGAUACAAAAUAAACCAUGUAAUUAUAUGUUCAGCGUAGCCUUGAUCAUGACUGUCAGUUCCACUACGUUACACACGAGUCAUAGGACAAAAUGUGUUUUCUGUAUGGGGCUGUUUUGUUAAGACCCGCGAUGAUCGGUCAAACAUUAACACGUAUCGCUUGUGGUACGGUUUUGGAAGCGUACGGACCUUAUUUCAUAUCAGUGAGAAAUAAUUUUAUAAAAACAAAAUGGUUAAAUUGAUACACACCUUUAUAGGAUUAGGGUUCCCACACAGCUAUAUUUCCAUGUUACAGCGCUUGUUUACGGAAAACAGACGGAAGACUGAGUAGACUACCUGUGCUAAUUAGCUAUCUGCAUCUCCAAACACCUGUGUAUAAACGAUACAGACGCCACAAAACAUGUCACUGAAAAAGUGUCGGCUGCAACAGUUAAAACAGUGUACCGUAAGUUUGUAUUUUGAAUUGUGAAAUUACUUAUGUGAUAUGAAAGUAGAGGUAAUUAUGUUUCUAGAACCGUAUCACAAUUGUGAAUAGAUUCACGUUUAGAUGGAGUAUUUGGGGUUUGUGGCUUCCAGAGCCAUCCUUUAAAACAGAACAUGUAAGGCCCUUGGACUAAGGUAACAUUAGGCUCCUUUACAGAGCCGGCUCUAGCCUAUCGCUGGCCCUAAGAAAGAUUUGGUUGGGGGGGCCCCACCACCGUGUCAAAACAUUUGUUUGAGUUUAUUUUUGUGCAGUAUUAAAGCUAAUUUCCU
This 5031-nucleotide long non-coding RNA is filed under the name Salmo salar (Atlantic salmon). RNAcentral's name for it is "lncRNA (ENSSSAG00000082013.1)". The record is from RNAcentral. Lineage: Eukaryota; Metazoa; Chordata; Actinopteri; Salmoniformes; Salmonidae.